AAUCAGUACAAAGCGAAGGCAAAGUUGUUUGUUUCCGAGAUACUUCCUGCACCUGCGAUGCUGUCAGUGAUUUUUGAAGUUAUCUUUUCAUUGUGAGCAGAGGAAGAAUGGUGGGAGAGGAAAAGAUGCACCGUAGACGCCAAAACAGUGAUCCUCUGGAAACGCUGAUAAAUGAAAUGCUAAUGAAUCAUAGAGUGGUUAUGUUUUGCAGAGUCUAGUUUUAUUCUGAUUUCAGAGCCUUGACACAGUUUUCAUUUAAAUGUCAUUGGAUGCAUUUCGGUAAUAAAGACAACUGUCAUUUUACUUUAAAAAAUAAAACUAGAAAUGUAAAUUUAAUUCUACAGGAUUUCGUUAAUAUUGUUCACGCGAGAAAGUCACAAUUAUGGUAUUACUUGCAACAGUGAACAUUAAUAAGUCCCGUGUGAUACUGUCAUUUGCUAAUUGGAAAGAGAAGCAUCUUUCAAACUUGGAAAGUCAGAGAAUGUCUUAUACCGUACGUGUAAAAAGUGACUUGAAUCUUCCAUUGGGCUCCAGGGGAAUCUCAAUACCAGGAAAACGAGUGAUGGGUCAGCUCCAUUGUGGAAAGUCAGUAAAUAUUUAAUAAUUAGUCUGCAUUGGAUUGCUGCACUAUAUAUACUCCAAAUGAUACAAUAUGGAAAUACUUCAAUUCUGAUCAUCUUUGGGUUUCAAAUCACUCAUACCUAUUUGUAAAUUGUAUUAAUCAGGUUUGAAGCGAAACUUCUAAUCAUUUGGAUCUAUCUAAAUGCCAAUAUGAUUCCCCACUUAAUAGAAAUGUUGGGCAGAAUGAAAAAUAUUUUGGAACCUAUCCUUGGUACCCAGAGCACAGUUUACCCUUCCUAAUGUCUCUUGUCUGUCUUCACUUUUAGGAAUCCAUGAUUCUGGCAUAUGUCAACAUGUUAAAAACCUGUGAUAGUUUCUUUUAUGCAGCCUUACUUUUCAACUAUCCAUCCACCCAUCUUUGUUAAAGAAGCUCAGGUGCUGCCCUGUAUGGGUGUUUGAAAUGAGGAGCUGACAUUUUUGGGGGGAGGUAGUCGGCAAUACUCCAUUGGUAAGAAUUCCUCAUCAGAUCAUAUGAAAAUGAAUUGGGCUUUCCUAUCUUUAUGUUGUUUUAGUUCUGUUCUCAAUGUGAUAUUAUCACACUGUUGGGCUGCUCAUCUCUCUUGCUUGUCUGUAUCUCCAUGUCUAGCUUGGUGCCUGGGUUGGAGCAAGGGCUUAAUGAAUGUGAGUUGAUUUGAAAUUCAGAAUGUAAUGAAGAUAUCCUGCAGGUCACAUCCUUCCUUUUAUAUUCUUGAUGAAAGCAUCUUGGGGUUGUAAAAUAUAGACCUACUAUAUAUUAGGGCUCAUAGAGGGAGCAGCAAGCAAAGCUCAGGUGGACUUUAUUACAUAUUGAUUUUGCCCUCGUGAUGAAGCAGUCUUAUAAAAUGUGUGAAGCCAGGUUGGAGCAGUAGCUUCACCACUAGGGGCCUCUUCUGCAUAGCGGAUCACCCUGGGCUGUCAUUUAGCACCAUUCCUCUGCCCUCUGAAGUAGUAGAGGCAUUUAACUUCCUGGGUACUCCACAUGGAAUACCGUAUGAGAAAAAGGCAACCUUGUGUGAAAAUCAUUACCAAAGACUCGCAAAUAAAUGAAAGUGGUCUUAAAUGAUGGAUUCAGUACGGUUUUUGAAUAAUAUUAAAGGUUUAAAGGAGAUUUAAGAGUUGGGCUUUUUACUUUUAUAUCCUAAUAUUCAGAUACAUGAUUUCUUAAAACUUAAAAACGAAUCUAAUAUAUACAUUUUGAUCUAGUAAUUUUAAAGUUUUUCUUUGUGUGUGUGUCUUUGAUGGAGCUUAUUUUCAUCUUUUGAUGUUUAAAAUUGCCUCAUCUCAGUGGGUGUUUGCAGCAACAACAGCAAGGUGAAUUAUUUCUCAAGGGAUUUUGUCUCGCCAGUUGAAGCUCCUGGUGUCUUUUCCUUUUUUAAUAAAGGGGCAGCCCAUUAAAUUCCACCAUUAAAAGUGUUUUGUCAUAUUUCAAGACGUAUAAUUGAAAGGCGCCUUUCUUCUGUGUGAGUUUUGGGAAAGCCCUCUCAUUUCUAGUUUGAAUGAAGUUAGUCAGCUCUGAAAAUAUUCACUGACAACUUAAAAGUGUUUUUAUUUAUUUGUUUUUAUUUGCCAGAUAUAAUUUGCUAUGUGGUAGAAAGAGUACAGAUAAUGUACUCUUUAACUCUUUAAUGUACUCUUUAACAAACACUAUAACUCACAAUAUUGCCAUAUUGUUUGCCAUUGAGUAAGAGAACAUUGUAUUUUCAGGUUUCCUGUGAAAUUUAAUUAUAGUGACAAACUAAACACCUUCAAUCUAUAAAGGAAAGUUAACUACAAUGACAGAAAAGUUCAGCACAUUGUGGGCCUGAAACCUUUCUAGGGGUUUCUUAACCUUAUUUAAUAGCAAAAUGUCUCUGAAUUCAGAAAAUUAUCAGACAUCCAAUUCUCAUUUUUUAUAUGGUGGAAUUUUCAACAAGACAAUCUGUUUUUUGAUGUUAUUCUGUCAAGGUCUAGGUCAGUCCUCGUUAGAGAAAGGGUAAUAGGAAUGACUUCUGUGUGAAAAUGUAGGUAGUUUUUAUCACUUUUCUCUGAUUAGGGUGAAUUUUUUGAAUUGCUUUUAAGAUUCUGUGCAUGUCAUAGUUAUGCAGAUCCUGUUUGUAAGAACUAAUAGUUUUCUAGAACCGGAAGAGAUUUGUUAUUACUUCCAAAUCCCCAACUAGAGAAGGGGAUGACACUUUCCUGACUCCUUCCUCUGCCCGUACUGAAGGUAAACCUAAGCCAAAAUGAUAGAUAUAGUGCUUUAUGCAGAACAUGAUGAUUUCCCUUGGGUGAGAACCCCGAGCAGACCAAGAUUAUAGAUGCUUGAGGUGGGAGAAAAUGAAUGGGUCUUUAUACCUGGGAGUCAUUUUUAGAAACCUGCAUUUGGGAGUGCCACCUGAAUAGGAAUGACAACUGUUUGCUAGAAUUUUCCACGAAAUGUUUUAAACCUAUCACUUAGUGAAACAUUCCCUUGCUGCGCAGAUAAUUUUUGUUGUUGUUUUUAGGCAGUGCAAAACAUAACAUUUGGUUUAUCCUGGGGUUACAUCCGCUGCUUCGUUUUAUUUUCACACACAAAGGACAUUUGAAUUGAGUGAGGAAAAGGGAAGCAGGAAACCGGGAGGAGGUGGAUGUGAAUGUCUAUUUAUACUGAACUUUGAGGCCAGCCUUUUUGCAUUCCCAAGGCACAUGGGCACCGAGGGCAGCCUCCUAUUAGGAAUUCAUGGGUGAUUUUUGUGAAUACCUUCUAAUCUGCUUUUAAAAUGGUGGUCUUUGGAUUAGGUCCUAGGUGUCCUCCAAAGUGACUUUCUACUUUUGUCUCCCAUGGGUUAGAUACUUGUUAAAGUUAAUGUAUUUGUUAAAUAAUUUAUGUAAACAGCAUUGCCGCUCGUCUGUGAGGUGUCUUUGUGCAAGUUAGCACUGGGCAACCCUUCUGUGGUUGGAUGUCCUAUGCCAGGGGUCAAACUGGGUAAACAGACAGUGGACUGGACUCUCGCCUGCUCGUCUCAUCUCCCUGCUGGGCUCUUGUGUGCUACAUUCUCUGUAGCCGUGUGUGAUGCUGUUAUCUGUAAAAGUGGUUAGAAAAGUCUCCAGCACAUAGUAACACACACACACACUCACACACACGCACAUGCACACUCAUAUAAAAUUGCUGGUGGUUAUUAUUAUUGACUGAGUUGCUUUCAGGGUAGACCGUUCUAGUAAUCACGAUAAUAUCAAUCAGAGCAUCCAGUGAAUCGGAUGCUUCUAACAGUGUUUGUAAGGGCAAGUAGUUCAUCCAGGGUCUCUCAUUGUACUACCCCUGCACCUCUUCCCUUCCCAUGAUAAAAGUGGCUCCAUUGAUGGAGCCCUUAACUACAUAGCAGUGCAUGCCAGGUGUGGGAUAGGAGCUCUUCAUUUAAUCAGCACAGGCCCCUUAGGUGGGGUGCACUGUUAUUAUCUGCGUUUCAACCUUAGACAGAAUGCACCAUCAUUGUCUGUGUUUUAUAGACACAUGGACCAGUGUUUACAAGAUGAAAGUUGUGACUGUAGCAGAGAGAUCUCUCAACAUCCUUUGGACACUCUCAGCAAGACUGUGAAGGUUCACCUGGGAGGUCUCUAGGGGAAAAUCAACAUGCUGUGACAAAGAGACUCCGUGUGAAUUUAGUGCCUUAGCAAAGGUAAGUCUGAGGGGAGCAUUCCAGAUGGGCAGAGUAGUUGUGCUGCAUGGAGUCUUUGAAGGACCCAGGUUCCUCCCAAUUCAUGGCUCCAUCAUCUUCCCUGUGAUAGAGCUGGCUGACAGCCUUGAGAAGAUUCUGCCCGGGGAACGGAAGAAAGCAGAGGUUGCUUGUGAUAACUUUGUGAUACUUUUGCUCCCCUUUCAUUGGAGAGAACUCAGUCAUGCCACCUUUGUCACAUGGCUAUACCUACCUGCUAGAAAGGCUGGGCAAUGCUCACCAGCUAUGGUAUUGGGAGAAAAGGAGAGCAGAUUCUGAUGGGUGGGUAGUCAGUCUGCAGUCCCCGCUAUAUAUGUAAAAAAGGAGCACAUAAUUAUCUCCAUAAAAAUAGCCUAUCAUCACUCUAAGAAAUCUUGAAGGAAAGAAAAUGUAUAAAAAUGGGAUAAAAUCACUUCUAACUCCACUGAAGUGGACUUGAAAAACAGACAAACUACCCAACGACCACUCCUUCUCACAAGCUCCCUGAUUUCCUUGUGGGGAACUGGAUCUCUCCUCCAGAAGAUGGAGUCUGGCGCGGUUGAGAACCACUUGCCUUGUUCUCCUCUAGCCCCAAACUAGGAGAAUGGAAUGUUCCUUCCCAAGAACUUGAAUUUCGAGGAGAGCUGACAAAGAUAUUAAAAGUGCUGGUGACACCUCCUUCUGGUGGCACCUUGACCUGUAUUCCUAUGUGAAGAUGUUCUUGGAAUUGCUGUCUAGAAGUUUCUAGAACUGCAAUUGUGUUACUUUUUAAGCUUGGCUUCCCUCUUUUCAAUCCCUUGAGCUCCCUGUGACCCAGUGAAACCCUGUUUUGUUGAAGUUAGUCGGAAUGGAUUCCUAUUUUUUGCCACUAACAAACUCUCACCAAUACAGUUGCUAUUCAGAGGAAAUUUCUGACACUUCUUUUACUUUCCUUCUAUUGUCUUCUAAAAUAUAUAUGCACAUAGUCAAUACUGUAUUGUUCACACAGUUUUAUACCUAUUGUUAAAUAUUUUUACAUGAUGGCUAUAGUUAAUAAUGUAUUCUAUAUUCAAAAAUUACUGAAAUAAUAGUAGAUAUUACCAGUAGAAAAAUAGUAUGUGAAAUGAUAGAUAUCUUAAUUGCUUCAAAAUAUAUAUGUAUAUCAAAACAUCAGUUUGGAUGCUAUAACUAUAUACAAUUUUUACUUGUCAAUUAUUCCUUAAUGAAGAGGGUGAAACAAAAAAUAAAAGUGAAAACAAAAUAAAUCUAUGAAAAACAUGAGUAUUUUUUUCAUUUUAUGAAAGUAGCUAUAGAAUAUUGAUUGCAUGAGUGGUCCAUAUUUUUAAGGGAGUUAAUUUUUGUAUCCUAAAUAAACACCUUUUCCUUUAUUAUAUAUCAUUUUAGGACCCUGGCGGUAUUUUAUUUAUUAAAGUUCUUAUAUAUGGUUGCAAAAGACUUAAUUUUCACUUAAAGUUUAUAACUAUUCAUAAUUACCUUCCCCUUUUGCAAUAGUGGAAUUGAACCCAGGUCUUAGCACUGACCUAUAUUCUCAGCUCUUUAAAAUUGUUUAUUUUGAGUUUCCCAGGCUGGGCUCCAACUUGCAGUCCUUCUGACUCAGCCCCCGAG
RNAcentral lists this long non-coding RNA (5852 nucleotides) under Heterocephalus glaber (naked mole-rat). RNAcentral describes it as "lncRNA (ENSHGLG00000041677.1)". Lineage: Eukaryota; Metazoa; Chordata; Mammalia; Rodentia; Bathyergidae. The record is from RNAcentral.